Molecule: ribosomal RNA, 109 nt
Organism: Oncorhynchus mykiss (rainbow trout)
Lineage: Eukaryota; Metazoa; Chordata; Actinopteri; Salmoniformes; Salmonidae
Source: Ensembl
GCUUGUUGCCAUACCACCCUGAACACGCCUGAUCUCGGUAGCUAAGCAGGGUCGGGCUUGGUUAGUACUUAGAUGGGAAAUCACCUGGAAAUACCAGGUGCAGUAAGCA